UUUUCUAGAGUAUUACUUGUGGUUUGCAAUUGUAUUAAGUAACUUUUUCUUAACACUCACCACAUACACACACACACACUCACACUCACAUUCACAUUCACAUUCACACACUCUCACUCUCACACUCACACUCACACUCACACUCACACUCACACUCACACUCACUCUCACACUCAGACACACACAUAUACACUAACACACACACUCACACUCACACGAACACACACUCACACUCACACGAACACUCACACUCACACACACAUACUCAUACACUCACACACGCUCACUCUCACACAUUCACGCUCAUGCUCACAUUCACACUCAGAUAUAUAGUACACUUAUACGCAUGUUGUGUAUGGACUGAUGUGGGUAUAUAUACUAUGAUGUGUUUAUGCAUGUAUGUAUACAGUUGUUUGCUUUCAGUUAUAUACAAUUAUCAAUGUAUGUAUAUAAUGAUACGUGCACGCACAUGCACCGUUACGCAUUGAUAAGUGCGUAUGUACUGUAUAUGUUUACAUUAAUACAUGCAUACUAUAUACAGAUAUAUAUGACCAUAUAGACAUUUAUUAGCAGUUUACAUAUAUAUAUAUACAUAAUGUGCAUAUAUACGAUAUGCAUAUAGUGAUAUGUUUUUUCGUGUAUGUAUAAACUUCCUAUCAGUUAUAUAUACAUUGAUAUGCGCCUGCACAUGCACCAUUGCGCAUUGAUAGGGCAUACGUACAUUUCUAUAUUCACUUAUAUGUAUGACUUUAUGGACACUUCUUAUCAGUUUAUACAGUUAUUGGUGUUUAUGUACACUGAUAUGUGUAUACUCACACUCAUGUGUAUAUCUGUAUUGGGUUUAUAUAUACACUAAUAUAUAAGACUAUAUGUGUACUUAUUAUCAAUGAUAUAUAUAAUUAUUAGCUCAAUUUGUGUACGUAUUGAUGUAUAUCAAUAGAUACCAUUCUUUUCAGAGUAUAUAUAUAUACUGAUGUAUAUAACCAUAUAAUACAUUAGUUAUAAGCUAUAUAUACAAUUAUUAGAAUGUAAAAAUACAUUGAUAUGUGUGUGUGUGAUGUCUACAUGUAUAUGAUGUGUAUAUACGGAUUUGUGUGUAUGUGUAAAGUGCAUAACUAUAUAUAUACAAUACAUUAAUAUAUACGUUGAUGUAUAUGACCAUAUAUACACUUAUUAUUACUAUAUACCUUUAUUAACGUAUAUGUACACAGAUUUAUAUACUACACACAAUCACAGUCACACUCACUCUCACCCUCACCUUUACACUCACACUCACACUCACACUCACACUCACACUCACACUCACACUCACACUCCCUCACUCAUACACACAUACAAUCACACGCUCACACUCACACUCGCACUCGCACUCUCAAUCUCACUCUCACUCUCACUCUCACUCUCACUCUCACUCUCACUCGCACUGACACUGACACUGACACUUAUAAACACUCACACUCACAAAUAUAUAUUCUAUCGCUUGUAAUCAGAUAUACAAUUGCGAAAUUCCUUAUUACUUUGUAUAAAAUUAGGCAUAAGAAUGGGUUUCUUCUCUUGAUGAAUUGGGUAUGUUGAAUACCCUAUUGUGAUAGUCCAUGUAAAUUUUUUAUCUUAUUUGUACUUGUUUUUUAUUAUUAUUGAUGAGCUUCAUCUUCAUUGAGUUUUCUUGUAAAUCAACAAGCACGAAAGCAACUUAUCAUAGAGGCGGAUCUCUUUACGUUUUUCGAUAUUUGAGAUCUUGAUAUUGCAAGCUUGAUUUGCUUGAUGGUUCUUUCUUCUCUAUUAUAGUAAUGCUCUUGCUUCUUUCAUGAAAAUAUAGUGUGAAUUUUCUAGAGCUUUACUUGUGGCUUGCAAUUUUAUUAAGUAACUUUUUCUUAACACACACACACUCUUGCUUCUUUCAUGCAAAUAUGGAGUUAAUUUUUCGGAGCUUUACUUGUGUUUUUGCAAUUUUAUUAAGGAACUUUUUCUUUACACACACAUGCACCACACACACGCACACUCACACUCACUCUCACACUCACACUCACACUAAUGUAUAGGAAUGGGUUUAUAUAUAUACACUAAUGUAUAAGGCCAUGUAUAUACUUAUUAUCAGUGAUAUAUACAGUUAUCAGCUCUAUAUGUUUAUGUAUUGAUGUAUAUAAGCAUAGAAUACAUUAGUUAUCGGUUAUAUGUACAAUUACUAGUGUGUGAAAAAUACAUUGAUGUGUGUGAUGUCUGUGUAUGUGUAAAGUACAUAACUGUAUAUAUACAGUGUAUUAAUAUUUACUUUUAUGAAAAUACUAUUAAUGGAACAAAUUAAAGCUCAAAGCAUAAUUUUUUACUGAUAAAUAAGAAGCAGAGAGUGUGACUACAGGACCAAGUAAUCAAUAUUUUAUUGUUGAUUGUGUAAACUGUAAACUUACAGGAGCAAGUAGUUGUACAUAAAGGAUUAGUUCCCCAAACUUAAUCCUUCAGCUCUGUUUCCUCAAGAAAAUGAAAAGCCCUCUUCAAACUAUCCCAAAUCAGAGAGAAAAACCCUUUUCAAACUAUCCCAAAUCAGCUUUUCAUCUUCCUAAAUCAGCAUCCCAUCUUCCUUUUCUCUCUCUAAAAAUCAGUUAAGGCCUCUUCCAUUAGAGUUCUUUCUUUUCUCUCUCUAAAAAUCACUUAGGGCGGCCCCUUCCAUUAGGGUUUGUGAAAACUAUUUUCUUCUUCUUUCUUCUUGCUAUAAACCCUACUGGCUAUGAGCCGAGCUAUAUUUUCUUCUCUUCCUUUCCUUCGUCGUUCUUCUUCUUCUCUUUACACAGUAAACAUAGAUGUAAAUCCCAAAUUUAUAUGAACUUCUUCCAACUAAGGAAAUUUAUAAAACUUUAACCAUAGUUAUGGAGUGACCAUUGACACCAUACCAUACUUAAAUAACUGUCGUGACAAAACAAAAAUCAUGUGUUUACUUUUUGGUAACUGCUAAGUAGGAGUUAUGUUUAAGUAUUUAAUAAAUAAAUUUAUAGUAUAUUUAUUUGUUUUUGUAUGUAAUAAGUAAGUGUGAUGUUUCUUAAAGUAUUUAAUUGGUAGAUUUAUAUGGUACUUUUUUUGGUAUAUACUAAUUAAUUAUGUAUUUAAUAUUGGAUGAGAGUCACAAGACAUCUAAAUUAAUUGACUUAAUUAUAUUAGUUUAGUAAAGUUUUUAUAGAUGAAUUAGUAAUUGAUGGCUUUGACAAAAUUUUUAUUUUUAGAAUUUCAAAAUUUCUAAUAUGAUAAAUUUAUUCAAUUUUUUUACUCUGAUUUUUUUAGCCUAAUCCGAUAUAUCAGCGAUAUCUUUAUAUGAAGUAUUUUUACCAAUCCGUAUUUUUUAUCCAAUUUUUUCAUCUGAUUUUCAAAAUAAAAACGAUUUAUUUCCGAUAUGUAUAUACUGAUAUGUUUAUGCGUGUAUGUAUAAACUUGCUAUCAGUCAUGUACACACUGAUAUGCGCACACAUAUGCACCCUUACGUAUUGACAGUGCAUAUAUACAUUUCUAUAUACACUGAUAUAAAUGACCUUAUAGACACUUAUUAUCAGCUUAUACAGUUAUUAGUGUAUAUGUACACUGAAAUGUAUAUACGCACACUCAUAUGCAUAUCUAUAAAAGGUUUAUAUAUACACUAAUGUAUAAGACCCAUGUAUGUACUUAUUAUCAGUGAUAUAUACAGUAUUGAGCUCAAUUUGUCUACGUAUUGAUUUAUAACAAUAUAUACCAUUAUGUUCAAUGUACAUAUAUUUAUACUGAUGCAUAUAACCAAACACAACAUUAGCUAUUUGCUUUAUAUACAGUUAUUAGUUUGUAAAAAAUACAUUGAUAUGAUGUGUGAUGUCUGUAUAUAUACGAUGUGAAUAUACUGAUAUGUGUGUAUGUGUAUGUGCAAAGUGCAUAACUGUAUAUAUACAAUGCAUCAAUAUAUACAUUUCUAUAUACAAUGGCAUAGAUGACGAUAUAUACAUUACUUAUCAGUUUAUACUGUUAUUAACGUAUAUGUAUAUUGAUUUAUAUGCUACACACACACUCACACUCACACUCUCCCUUACAUUUACACUCACACUCACACUCACACACUCAUUCACAUACACACACGCAUACACACUCACACACACUCACUCACAUACACACACACUGACACUGACACUGACACUGACACUGACACUGACACUGACACUGACACUGACACUGACACCGACACUGACACUGACACUCACACUCACACUCACACUCACACUCACAGUCACAGUUACACUGACACUCACACUCACACUCACACUGACACUCACACUCACACUACACUCACACUCACUCACACUCACUCACACUCACACUCACAUUCACACUCACACUCACACUCACAUUCACUCACACUCACAUACACUCACACUCACAGAUAUGUAUAUUACACAUAUAUGCAUGUUGUGUAUGGACUGAUGUGUGUAUAUAGACGAUAUGUAUAUACUAAUAUGUUUAUGCCUGUUUUUGCGAUCUUGAUCUUGAAAACUUGAUUUUCUUAAUGGUUCUUUCUUCUUUAAUAUAGUACUUCUUCUUUCAUGCAAAUAAGAAGUGAAUUUUCUUGAGUUUUACUUGUGGUUUGCAAGUUUAUUAUGUAACUUUUCUUAACACACACUCUUUCUUCUUUUAUGCAAAUAUGGAGUGAAUUUUUUGGAGCUUUAAUUGUUGUUUUCAAUUUCAUUAAGUAACUUUUUCUUAACACACACGUACACAUACACAAUCACACUCACACUCACUCUCACACUCACACUAACACUCACACUCACACUCACACUCACACUCACUCACACACACACUCACACGCGCACACACACUCACACUCACACUCACACUCACACUCACACUCACACUCACACUCACACUCACACUCACACUCACACACGCUCACACUCACUCACACACAGUCACAGUCACGGUCACAGUCACUAUCAGAGUCACACACACACUCGCACACUCACACACACAGGCACACACACUCACACACGG
Molecule: long non-coding RNA, 4998 nt
Filed under: Amborella trichopoda
Lineage: Eukaryota; Viridiplantae; Streptophyta; Magnoliopsida; Amborellales; Amborellaceae
Description: long non-coding RNA (ATRI_LNC001141)
Source: RNAcentral